This 1174-nucleotide ribosomal RNA is filed under the name Listeria monocytogenes. Its description in RNAcentral is "partial 23S ribosomal RNA". It matches the Rfam family "Bacterial large subunit ribosomal RNA", at positions 426 to 1597 of the family's 2925-position model. The record is from RNAcentral. Lineage: Bacteria; Bacillati; Bacillota; Bacilli; Caryophanales; Listeriaceae.
GUGAAAUUCCGUCGGAAUCCGGGAGGACCAUCUCCCAAGGCUAAAUACUCCCUAGUGACCGAUAGUGAACCAGUACCGUGAGGGAAAGGUGAAAAGCACCCCGGAAGGGGAGUGAAACAGUUCCUGAAACCGUGUGCCUACAAGUAGUUAGAGCCCGUUAAUGGGUGAUAGCGUGCCUUUUGUAGAAUGAACCGGCGAGUUACGAUUUGUUGCAAGGUUAAGCGGAAAAAGCGGAGCCGUAGCGAAAGCGAGUCUGAAUAGGGCGCAUAAGUAACAGGUCGUAGACCCGAAACCAGGUGAUCUACCCAUGUCCAGGAUGAAGGUAAGGUAAUACUUACUGGAGGUCCGAACCCACGCACGUUGAAAAGUGCGGGGAUGAGGUGUGGGUAGCGGAGAAAUUCCAAUCGAACUUGGAGAUAGCUGGUUCUCUCCGAAAUAGCUUUAGGGCUAGCCUCGAGGUAAAGAGUCAUGGAGGUAGAGCACUGUUUGGACUAGGGGCCCUUCUCGGGUUACCGAAUUCAGAUAAACUCCGAAUGCCAUGUACUUAUACUCGGGAGUCAGACUGCGAGUGAUAAGAUCCGUAGUCGAAAGGGAAACAGCCCAGACCACCAGUUAAGGUCCCCAAAUAUAUGUUAAGUGGAAAAGGAUGUGGGGUUGCUUAGACAACCAGGAUGUUGGCUUAGAAGCAGCCACCAUUGAAAGAGUGCGUAAUAGCUCACUGGUCGAGUGACCCCGCGCCGAAAAUGUACCGGGGCUAAACAUAUUACCGAAACUGUGGAUGAACCUCUUUAGAGGUUCGUGGUAGGAGAGCGUUCUAAGGGCGGUGAAGUCAGACCGGAAGGACUGGUGGAGCGCUUAGAAGUGAGAAUGCCGGUAUGAGUAGCGAAAGAAGGGUGAGAAUCCCUUCCACCGAAUAUCUAAGGUUUCCUGAGGAAGGCUCGUCCGCUCAGGGUUAGUCGGGACCUAAGCCGAGGCCGAUAGGCGUAGGCGAUGGACAACAGGUAGAGAUUCCUGUACCAGUGCUAAUUGUUUAACCGAUGGGGUGACACAGAAGGAUAGGGAAUCGCACGAAUGGAAAUGUGCGUCCAAGCAGUGAGUGUGAGAAGUAGGCAAAUCCGCUUCUCGCGAAGCAUGAGCUGUGAUGGGGAAGGAAAUUAAGUACGGAAGUUCCUGA